This 60-nucleotide transfer RNA is filed under the name Echinostoma revolutum. Its description in RNAcentral is "tRNA-Ser". Lineage: Eukaryota; Metazoa; Platyhelminthes; Trematoda; Plagiorchiida; Echinostomatidae. The record is from RNAcentral.
GGAAGUUAUGAAACUGUCGCUGCUAACGAUGGUUGGAAUAUUAGUUGUAUUCAGCUUCCU